Ovis aries (sheep) is the source of this 72-nucleotide transfer RNA. It matches the Rfam family "tRNA". Rfam says of the family: Transfer RNA (tRNA) molecules are approximately 80 nucleotides in length. NCBI's taxonomy places the organism in Eukaryota, Metazoa, Chordata, Mammalia, Artiodactyla, Bovidae. The record is from Rfam.
UCCCUGAUAGCUCAGUUGGUCAAGAAUCUGCCUGCAAUGCAGGAGACCCUGGUUCAAUUCCUGGGUCGGGAA